This is a long non-coding RNA of Talpa occidentalis (Iberian mole), 784 nucleotides long. RefSeq lists it as uncharacterized. Lineage: Eukaryota; Metazoa; Chordata; Mammalia; Eulipotyphla; Talpidae. The record is from RefSeq and is a predicted model, not a curated record. The transcript is spliced from 5 exons.
CCCAUUUACAGCGCUGUGGUGUAGGUUCAAGUUUUUGGCAAUAAGGAAUGAGAUCUGAAGGCUGCUACAGCUUAUGGAACUAAGAGACACAGACGAAGUGUUUUGGAAACCCUGGAGUUCACCGUUUGUCUCCUCCUUACCUGGGGCUUUCAGUGGAUUGGAUGGAGUGAAGGGGGCCCAGGGAUGGCAAGACCAACUCUAAAGCAUGAAAAGACAUGCAGUACUAUAGGCCUGGAUUUUGAGGGGCCUGGAAAGGACACUCAUGAAUAGAGUUUUUGCUUAUGCACUUGACUCAAGAACAGUUACUGAACGCUAAGACUUGCCUUCUAAGGACGCUUUUGCUACCUUCUAAUGUGUUAGAUGGCGAGUCUUCUCAUGCAGCGCUGUGUCAGGUCAUUGAAGAAAAUGAAGAACCAAGAAAUUAAAUAUAUGGAGUCCAGAGAAUCAAUACCAACUAUACUGCAGUUCAAGGCUCCCAAAUGGCCUCAAAAGACUUACCAAAUUUUGCUUUCCCACACAAUGAAGAAUUUCUGUUGCUCCCCAUCCUUGUCAACGUUUGGUGCUGUCAGUGUUUUGUAUCUUUACCAUUCAUUGUUUUAAUUUGCAAUUCCCUAAUGUUGAGCAUUCUUCUCAAAUUUUAUUAUUGACGACAUAUACUACCAGUUGUUUUCUUUUGACAAGAUCAUUUCAUUCAUUUCCAGGGAGUGUGUCUCAUGUACCCAAAUCUGUCAUCUGUUAUUUAAAGUAAAAAUGAUGCCUUGGAGUUAAAAAGAAAAGAAAAGAA